AGCAUUACAAUAAGCGGAGGAAAAGAAACCAACAGGGAUUGCCCUAGUAACGGCGAGUGAAGCGGCAACAGCUCAAAUUUGAAAUCUGGCUCUUUUAGAGUCCGAGUUGUAAUUUGCAGAGGGCGCUUUGGCUUUGGCAGCGGUCCAAGUUCCUUGGAACAGGACGUCACAGAGGGUGAGAAUCCCGUACGUGGUCGCUGGCUAUUGCCGUGUAAAGCCCCUUCGACGAGUCGAGUUGUUUGGGAAUGCAGCUCUAAAUGGGAGGUACAUUUCUUCUAAAGCUAAAUAUUGGCCAGAGACCGAUAGCGCACAAGUAGAGUGAUCGAAAGAUGAAAAGCACUUUGGAAAGAGAGUCAAACAGCACGUGAAAUUGUUAAAAGGGAAGCGCUUGCAGCCAGACUUGCUUACAGUUGCUCAUCCGGGCUUUUGCCCGGUGCACUCUUCUGUAGGCAGGCCAGCAUCAGUUUGGGCGGUAGGAUAAAGGUCUCUGUCACGUACCUCCUUUCGGGGAGGCCUUAUAGGGGAGACGACAUACUACCAGCCUGGACUGAGGUCCGCGCAUCUGCUAGGAUGCUGGCGUAAUGGCUGUAAGCGGCCCGUCUUGAAACACGGACCAAGGAGUCUAACAUCUAUGCGAGUGUUUGGGUGUCAAGCCCGAGCGCGUAAUGAAAGUGAACGGAGGUGGGAACCCGCAAGGGUGCACCAUCGACCGAUCCUGAUGUCUUCGGAAGGAUUUGAGUAAGAGCAUGGCUGUUGGGACCCGAAAGAUGGUGAACUAUGCUUGAAUAGGGUGAAGCCAGAGGAAACUCUGGUGGAGGCUCGCAGCGGUUCUGACGUGCAAAUCGAUCGUCAAAUUUGGGCAUAGGGGCGAAAGACUAAUCGAACUAUCUAGUAGCUGGUUCUGCA
RNAcentral lists this ribosomal RNA (906 nucleotides) under Alternaria multiformis. Its description in RNAcentral is "LSU rRNA". It matches the Rfam family "Eukaryotic large subunit ribosomal RNA", at positions 37 to 961 of the family's 3401-position model. The record is from RNAcentral. Lineage: Eukaryota; Fungi; Ascomycota; Dothideomycetes; Pleosporales; Pleosporaceae.